GUGACAGACGAAUAGGCAGAUAUUACUAUUGUUACUCUGGCUACGAGUCGUACAACUCUUCUCACUUUGCGCUACCGCACUGCACACCAAAAAUAUGUAGAGUACGACAAAUUUGAGCUGGACAACAGACUUGUUGGUUUGUAUUUAUUUCUUUUCUCUAUACAACAAAAGAAAUAUUUCUACUUUCAAUUUUUCUUCCAAACUUAAAUUGAGUUCCUAGGUAUAAGCUGCUGAUGUCGAUUUACUUUUGGUAUGCCUUGGACACAUUGCUUGACUGAGUUGUUUAAUGGGCUUCGCAAGGUAAA
This is a long non-coding RNA of Bactrocera tryoni, 305 nucleotides long. RefSeq lists it as uncharacterized. The transcript has 2 exons. The record is from RefSeq and is a predicted model, not a curated record. NCBI's taxonomy places the organism in Eukaryota, Metazoa, Arthropoda, Insecta, Diptera, Tephritidae.